UAAUAAUAAUAAUAAUAAUAAUUGUCUCUUUUUUUGGCAGUAAUUGAAAGAAUAAGGACUCGAACUUAGCUCCGUUAAAUGAGUAAUAUAUUUUUAGUCACUAAAUCAUAUAAGAAUAAACAAUAAUAAUCAUUAUUUCAAUAACAUAGUAAAGUGCAAUAUAGAGUUUAAUAAAAUAAAAAUUACCAUGUAGAAUAUAGAGUUGACACAAGCAUAUCAUGAGAUAACCUAUAUCAGGGAAGUCCAACUCGAUUUUGUAGAAGCAUACAAUAUUCAAAGAAAUCCAGCUCAAUUUUAUUCAUAACAUAGCUCUACUCAACCCAGCAAAACUAGCCAUAUCCUUAUACAUAACAUGUUACUAAUGUCACUAUGGAGUUUUAAAGACAUAGCAAUAUAUAAAUAGAUACAAUAAUCCUAUUAGUAAAAAUGCAGGUUAUAACUCAAAAUAAAAUGCUUCUUCUGUCUCCUAAAAUAAUAUUUAAACAAAGAUGAGUGUUAAUUUAGAGAGUUUAUUGAUUAUAAUUAUAAUUUUUAUAACUAUUAAAAAUUAAUAUGGUCUUAAAAAUGAAAAUGUGCACACAUAAUAUUAGAUUAUUAGUUGGAUAACAUAAGCUAUCAUCAAUGCCCUAUCCAUAGUUAGAUGAAUUCGCAAGCAAAUUAUUCUUUUUGAUAUUUAUAUUUUUUUCCUAUAUUAACUAAUCCUCAUUAGUUCAUUCUUUUUUAUGACAAAUUCUUAUCUGGCAGAGAAAAUGUAUUCAAUAGUCAAGAUUUCUACUUAAUUCUUUAAAUCCAAAAAAAUAAAAGAGCGUACGUCUCUUGUUUAUUCUUAGCUUAAUUGAUCAUAAUGAAUUUAAUACCCAUUAUGAAAUUAAAACAUCAUUUAUGAAAAAUUACAAAUUGGGAAACCCAUCAUUGUUUUUGUUGGAAAUAUGAUUUAAAUUACCCAUAUAGAUAGAUCAAUCUGAAUUCAUUAAACUUGAAAUCAGAACUAAGAAUAACCGUAUAAAAAGUAGUAUACAUUGCCAAAAUAUGACGAAAAUCCAAAAGUCGUAUAUGUUGAUCAAAAGAUGUAACUACAUGCGAAGACGUAACUCUUUUUAAUAUUUACAUGUAUAAAAUGAUGCAACUUUUAAUCAAAAGGUGCCAUGACUUUUAAAUAGCCAUGUUUGAUUUUCAUUAAUGAGGCAAGAAAAACACAUACAGAAUGAGUAAUAAAAGAAUAAAUGAGUGUGCAUUUAUCUGUGCGUAAGUUCGGCUCGAUUCUUAAUUUUUAGAGGCUCUCAUUUUAAACAAGAUGUGGAGUAAUUUAUUUUUAUAAAUAACGUAUCAUCUAGACUGUGAAUUAAUUUAUAAAUUGCAUGUUAUUCAUGUAAUUAUAUGGUAGAUUAGUGAAACAAAUAUGAUAAAGAUUUUAGGGUUAUAUGAACAUGAGUUAGGAUUCAUGUAUUUGAAUUUAUUUGUUGAGUCUUUAUAAUUUUCUUCAUUGGUAUCAAAGCCCUAAUAUUUGUUUCCUAAUUUAAUUAACAUGUAUAUUUUUCUUUAUAGCAUGUUUUAUUAUUAUUUUUUUAAAUUGAUGUUGUUUUGUGAAUCAAAUUCAUAUAGAUAACAAUUUAUAUUCUUUCCGCAAAUUCUUCCUCUAUCUGGAAUCGUUUUAGAAUAGUUUUAUUUUUUUUAUAUAAGUUUUCUGAAAGAUUUUGAAUCUUGAAAAUUGAUAUUCAAAUUUGGAAUAUUUGAUUUAUUUUUUAAUUAAAAAAAUAAAUUUGCAUGACCUGAAAAAUCUAAAAGGAACUGGUAGUAGCGUCAAAAGGACGUUAGUGAUACUAACUGUCCCAAACGAGCACCGGUGCCCGAUGGUCUCGGACAGCCAUUGGACGUCCUGUUGGUGGUGGCGCUGUGCAUUGGGUGACUAAAAUUUGUGAUUUGAAAAUCGUUUUCAGCCAGUAGAAGAUGCCGGUGAUGCUUGCAUCUAUGCUGGCAUUGUAUGGAUGUCCAGCUGAUCAUGGUUCUUCGAUGGAAGGAAGAGGAAGAAAGGGCGUAGCCUAUUGCCCAUGUUGUUUAAUGAAAUUACUGGUCUGCCAUUAUUAACUUUGUCUUUUUUUUUUUUUCAAGAAUCUACAGAAUUGCCAUUGAUGUUUCAUACUAUUCUUUUUCAUCAAUUUACAAUAUUGCCAUUUGAC
Molecule: unclassified non-coding RNA, 2177 nt
Filed under: Hevea brasiliensis (rubber tree)
Lineage: Eukaryota; Viridiplantae; Streptophyta; Magnoliopsida; Malpighiales; Euphorbiaceae
Source: RNAcentral